ACGGUAAAUAUGGAUUUUCCUUUAUGGGUUUUAUUUCAAAACUAAAUUAAGACUGCUGUUUCUUGUUGUUGUUCUUUCCUUCUCAUUCUGGCUUCUUUUCUUUGUCUUUCUCCCGGGGUAUUGUUGCUCUUUGAUGGUUAAUUAACCAGAAACCAGAAGACAAAUUGAAAGAUAGAUAGGGUGGGCGAACAGCGUGAACCUGAAGAAGAAUUUGAUUUUUUUUUUAAUUAUGAUAAUGAUUGAGAAAUGAAGAGUGAUUUUUCAUUUUAGAAGCUGAUAAAUGUUGGUUGAACAUUCUUGUCAAAUAAGAGAAAUUUCCAUGUGGUGGAAUGUAUGAAAAAACCCUGUUCCGUAGAAAGGGGGAAAACCCCAUUUGAGAGUAUGCAGAGAACAUUCAUUUGAUAAAAAGAAAGUUUUUUGUUUGUUUUUCUUUGGUUUUUGAUUUUGGGUGUUAGUGUUUGAUAAUGUCGUCUAAUACUCCAUCAGAGAUGCAAGAACCGAGCAUCGAUACGGAUAAGUUGAGUUAUGAAAUCUUUUCUAUACUGGAAAGCAAAUUUUUGUUUGGGUACGAUGACAAUCAGAAGCUAUGGAUUCCCAAACCGAUCUCUCCCCCGGCUUCGGAACCGAUGGUUCAACCGGGUGACGAGAAUUCCUUGCCAGCUAUAAAGAACCAGAGGGGUAAAAUCUGUAUUUUGAGUAUUGAUAGCGGUGGCAUGAAAGGAAUUCUUUCCGGGAAAGCGUUGGCUUAUCUUGAAAAAGCCUUGAAAUCCAAGUCGGGUAAUCCAAAAGCUCGAAUCGCCGAUUAUUUCGACGUCGCCGCUGGUUCAAGUGUCGGUGGUAUCUUCACCGCCAUGCUUUUUGCCACCAGAGAUAACAACCAACCGAUUUUCACCGCCGAGGAGACGUGGCGGUUCCUUGCUGAUAAUGGGAAGAGGAUCUACCGGUCCGGUGCGGGUAAAAACGGCGGUAUUCUAAAGAAGAUUUUGAAAAACGGUUCGACCGGGUCAAGUUCGAACGGUAUGGAGAAGGUCAUGAAGGAGGCGUUCACGGCGGGUAGAAGGAGUUUGACGUUGAAAGAUACACUAAAGCCGGUUUUGAUUCCGUGUUAUGAUCUUUCCAGUACGGCGCCUUUUUUGUUUUCGAGGGCCGAUGCUUUGGAGACGGAUAGUUUCGACUUCCCAUUAUGGGAGGUUUGUCGGGCAACCUCGGCUGAACCGGGCUUAUCCGGACCGGUAUUGAUGCAAUCCGUUGACGGUCAAACCAAGUGUGUGGCGGUCGAUGGUGGGUUGGCAAUGAGCAACCCGACCGUUGCAGCCAUUACGCAUGUGUUACAUAAUAAACAGGAGUUUCCUUUCGUUAGAGGGGUUGAGGAUUUGUUGGUGCUGUCAUUGGGGACGGGUCAGCUCCUUGAGGUUAGCUAUGAAUAUGAGCAAGUCAAGAAUUGGAGGCUCAAGGAUUGGGCUAAACCGAUGGCUCGUAUAUCCGGCGACGGUUCAGCCGACUCGGUGGAUCAAACCGUCGCCAUGGCCUUUCAACAAUGCAGAAGCAGUAAUUACGUAAGAAUUCAGGCAAAUGGGUCCAGUUUAGGAAGGUGUGGUCCAAAUGUAGAUACAGACCCUAGCCCCAGCAAUGUUAAAUUGCUGAUGGAGAUAGGUGAGGAAAUGCUGAAGCAAAAAAACGUUGAAUCAAUUCUGUUUGGAGGUAAAAGGAUUAGUGAAGAAAGCAAUAUGGAGAAAUUAGAUUGGUUUGCCGGUGAACUUGUUUUGGAACAUCAGAGGAGGAGUUGCAGAAUUGCUCCCACUGUUGCUUUCAAGCAACCCAGCCCUAAGAUCAACUAGGUUUCUCUCUCAACCAACACAGUUUGUGCCAUUUCUUGAAACCCAAAAACAACUCACAAAGGAAGAAGAAGAAGAAGAAGAAAGAUAGCACCUUUUAAUGAAACCAUGGAAUUGAAUUAAAGAAGAAAAAACACAUUAAAAAGGGUUUCGAAGAUAGUUUGGAUGAUGUUGUCCACUCCCAUCCUAUUUUUUCUCCCAAUCAAAACCCUUCAACAGUUGUUAAAACUAGCAGCAAUGGUGUGAAACUAAAUUGCAAAAAAUUAUAUAUUACCUACUUUUCUUUUUCUUUUUCUUUCCUUUAUGUAUAUUCUCAAGGGGCAAAAACAUGAAGGUCGAUUAUCUUGUCUUGUAAUCAAAAGCCAUGAAUAUAAGCCAAAGUUCUUUACUAGA
Molecule: RNA transcript, 2228 nt
Organism: Gossypium arboreum
Lineage: Eukaryota; Viridiplantae; Streptophyta; Magnoliopsida; Malvales; Malvaceae
Gene name: patatin-like protein 6
Exons: 4
Source: RefSeq, a predicted model, not a curated record